GCCGAUGUGGUGAAAUUGGUAGACACGCCAUCUUGAGGGGGUGGUGGGGAAACCCGUGCCGGUUCGACUCCGGCCAUCGGCACCA
This 85-nucleotide transfer RNA is filed under the name hydrothermal vent metagenome. RNAcentral's name for it is "tRNA-Leu-GAG". It matches the Rfam family "tRNA". From Rfam's summary of the family: Transfer RNA (tRNA) molecules are approximately 80 nucleotides in length. Their secondary structure includes four short double-helical elements and three loops (D, anti-codon, and T loops). The record is from RNAcentral.